This 515-nucleotide ribosomal RNA is filed under the name uncultured Gram-positive bacterium. RNAcentral describes it as "bacterial SSU rRNA". It matches the Rfam family "Bacterial small subunit ribosomal RNA", at positions 8 to 521 of the family's 1533-position model. The record is from RNAcentral.
AGAGUUUGAUCCUGGCUCAGGAUGAACGCUGGCGGCGUGCUUAACACAUGCAAGUCGAACGGAGCACCCUUGAAGGAGUUUUCGGACAACAGAUAGGAAUGCUUAGUGGCGGACGGGUGAGUAACGCGUGAGGAACCUGCCUUGGAGAGGGGAAUAACACAGUGAAAAUUGUGCUAAUACCGCAUGAUGCAGUUGGGUCGCAUGGCUCUGACUGCCAAAGAUUUAUCGCUCUGAGAUGGCCUCGCGUCUGAUUAGCUAGUUGGUGGGGCAACGGCCCACCAAGGCGACGAUCAGUAGCCGGACUGAGAGGUUGACCGGCCACAUUGGGACUGAGACACGGCCCAGACUCCUACGGGAGGCAGCAGUGGGGAAUAUUGGGCAAUGGGGCAAGCCUGACCCAGCAACGCCGCGUGAAGGAAGAAGGCUUUCGGGUUGUAAACUUCUUUUAUGAGGGACGAAAGAAAUGACGGUACCUCAUGAAUAAGCCCGGCUAACUACGUGCCAGCAGCCGCGGU